CCGCCUGGCCGCGGGAUUUCCGUAGGUGAACCUGCGGAAGGAUCAUUCCACGUCCUCAUUUACUUCACUGUGAACUCCUCUUUAUGAACUUGUGUAUGGGGUUGGGGAUAUCACAUCCGCUUCCUGGUGCAUGAGUUCGCGGGUAGUGGAGCAGCAUUGGACCGUCUUCCUUUACUGUGAAGCUACCGCUAUUUGUUGAAUCACAUGUGUGUCUCUCUCCUGAUUCUUGGGUGGGUGUCCACCUAAUCACAUCAAACACAACUUUCAGCGACGGAUGUCUCGGCUCGAACAACGAUGAAGGGCGCAGCGAAGUGUGAUAAGCAUUGUGAAUUGCAGAAUUCCGUGAACCAAUAGGGAUUUGAACGUAUACUGCGCUUUCGGGAUAUCCCUGAAAGCAUGCCUGCUUCAGUGUCUACUGAUAUUCAUGCCACUGACACAUUCCAAAUCCGUUUGGUGCCGUCAUGUGUGCGUGUUUGUGUGUCAAGGAGCUUUGCGCCCUUGACGCAUUCAGUGCAUAGGUGCUGUCCACAACAAGCAAUUUAAAUAACGCCUUUGGUGUCAUUCGUUGCUCUGUUGCUGGCGGCUUGCCUGUUACGCGUCGGUAUUUGCCGAUCUCAUUCAAGACAUGAAGUUAGGUAAGCAAACCCGCUGAAUUUAAGCAUAUCAAU
This 668-nucleotide ribosomal RNA is filed under the name uncultured eukaryote. RNAcentral describes it as "eukaryotic LSU rRNA". The stretch from base 260 to 414 matches the Rfam family "5.8S ribosomal RNA". The record is from RNAcentral.